UACGUAGGGGGCAAGCGUUGUCCGGAUUUAUUGGGCGUAAAGAGCGUGUAGGCGGCCAGACAGGUCCGUUGUGAAAACUCGAGGCUCAACCUCGAGAUGUCGAUGGAAACCGUCUGGCUAGAGUCCGGAAGAGGAGUGUGGAAUUCCUGGUGUAGCGGUGAAAUGCGCAGAUAUCAGGAAGAACACCUAUGGCGAAGGCAGCACUCUGGGACGGUACUGACGCUGAGGCGCGAAAGCGUGGGGAGCAACAGG
This 252-nucleotide ribosomal RNA is filed under the name uncultured bacterium. RNAcentral describes it as "partial 16S ribosomal RNA". It matches the Rfam family "Bacterial small subunit ribosomal RNA", at positions 524 to 775 of the family's 1533-position model. The record is from RNAcentral.